GACGAACGCUGGCGGCGUGCUUAACACAUGCAAGUCGAACGGAAAGGCCCUGCUUUUGUGGGGUGCUCGAGUGGCGAACGGGUGAGUAACACGUGAGUAACCUGCCCUUGACUUUGGGAUAACUUCAGGAAACUGGGGCUAAUACCGGAUAGGAGCUCCCGCUGCAUGGUGGGGGUUGGAAAGUUUCGGCGGUUGGGGAUGGACUCGCGGCUUAUCAGCUUGUUGGUGGGGUAGUGGCUUACCAAGGCUUUGACGGGUAGCCGGCCUGAGAGGGUGACCGGCCACAUUGGGACUGAGAUACGGCCCAGACUCCUACGGGAGGCAGCAGUGGGGAAUAUUGCACAAUGGGCGGAAGCCUGAUGCGGCAACGCCGCGUGCGGGAUGACGGCCUUCGGGUUGUAAACCGCUUUCGCCUGUGACGAAGCGUGAGUGACGGUAAUGGGUAAAGAAGCACCGGCUAACUACGUG
This 468-nucleotide ribosomal RNA is filed under the name uncultured bacterium. Its description in RNAcentral is "partial 16S ribosomal RNA". It matches the Rfam family "Bacterial small subunit ribosomal RNA", at positions 28 to 507 of the family's 1533-position model. The record is from RNAcentral.